AAUUGAUUUCUCAGUAUCCAUUCCAAUACUCCCUCUUCUCUCUCACGCCUACUCCCUCACACUCUAACCAUUCUCUUCAAUUCAAGCUUUGAACUAAGGAAAGGAAGCAUGGAUUCUUACAUGCAAUCAUGGUAGCAACUUCUCUAGCCAUAAGUAAACAAGGUAACAGACUUACCUUUUCCUUUUCUUUAACAUAAUCCUUGUAAUUUCCCAUUUUAAUUAUUCAACCAAAAUCUGAUGAGUACUCCCUUCCUUUUGAAUUGAGAGCUUGUAUGUGAGUUAUAGUAGCCAAGGAGUCAUGGGUUCAUGUUUGAAGCUUGAAGUUUUGAGUGGUGACUUUUGAAAGAGAUUGUGUUGAAUUUCGUUUUUGGAUAUACUUUCAGAAAAACAGUAAGUACUCCUUCCCUGUAACUCCAAUCGAGUUAAUUCUUUAAGUUCUGUAAAGCUAACGAAUUUACCCUCGUUGGCAUAUCAAAUUUUAUCGGAUUCGGAGUUACAAUGCAUUAUGUAGGUGAUGCUAAAGUUGAAGAUACGAAACAGGAUUUCUGCAGAAAAUGUGUUUGGACAGUGCUGCACUUAAAGGUUAACUGCGCCCUCUCUAUAACUCGGUUUGACAUUCCAUUUGCUUCUAUGGAUAGCUAACUCGAUUACGGUUGGUAUGGUUCCGGUUUUGUGAAUUUUCAAUAAGGGAUGAGGUCUGUAUGAAUUUUUGAAGUUGAUACUCCGAUGCAGAAUUCUGCAGAAAGGUAUGGGUACGGGUUUGAAGCAUUUCGAUUGAAAUUAUGCAUAUCGGCGAGCUCUGGAAAUGACAAUGGUAUUGUUCAAGCGUAUUUGCAGGUGGGUUCCCUUAGAGCCUUAAACUCUAGUUAGUUUUAACUCUAUUAGUUUCCCCAAAUUAUGAAUCUUGCAUGAUAACAUAAGCAUUAGGGUGAAUUGUGUAUGAGAGGAGCUUAAUCCCAAAGCUUCUCUUCGUUUUAAUUAUGUGAAAUAUGUUGUAAUGUUCAUGGCUAAUAAGUAAAGGGAUUGUGAUAAUGAUUUUCUGCAAAACGGAUGGAAAUUGUAAAAACAGAGUAAUGAACUGAUAGCCUCGCUAAGCGAAAUGGUACUUGCUAGGCGAGAAUAUCAGCUCAGUACUAUGUAGAAUUUAAAAUUAUGAACAAACUCACGUUUUUGAAUCCCCUACCUUUUUAGUACAUUUUCUGUGAAUAAUACAAGUAUAAUAAUUAAUUAAAAUGUUAAGUACACGUUAAGUUAAGAUAAUCAGGAUAUCAGGACAAGUUAGCUACUCCAGGGAGGGAAAUUCAUGGGUAGGAUANNN
Molecule: long non-coding RNA, 1318 nt
Filed under: Trifolium pratense (red clover)
Lineage: Eukaryota; Viridiplantae; Streptophyta; Magnoliopsida; Fabales; Fabaceae
Description: long non-coding RNA (TPRA_LNC003652)
Source: RNAcentral